RNAcentral lists this ribosomal RNA (376 nucleotides) under uncultured bacterium. Its description in RNAcentral is "bacterial SSU rRNA". It matches the Rfam family "Bacterial small subunit ribosomal RNA", at positions 524 to 898 of the family's 1533-position model. The record is from RNAcentral.
UACGUAGGGUGCGAGCGUUAAUCGGAAUUACUGGGCGUAAAGCGUGCGCAGGCGGUUUGUUAAGACAGGCGUGAAAUCCCCGGGCUCAACCUGGGAAUGGCGCUUGUGACUGGCAAGCUAGAGUAUGGCAGAGGGGGGUAGAAUUCCACGUGUAGCAGUGAAAUGCGUAGAGAUGUGGAGGAAUACCGAUGGCGAAGGCAGCCCCCUGGGCCAAUACUGACGCUCAUGCACGAAAGCGUGGGGAGCAAACAGGAUUAGAUACCCUGGUAGUCCACGCCCUAAACGAUGUCAACUAGGUGUUGGGUGGGUAAAACCAUUUAGUACCGUAGCUAACGCGUGAAGUUGACCGCCUGGGGAGUACGGCCGCAAGGUUAAA